This 225-nucleotide unclassified non-coding RNA is filed under the name Hevea brasiliensis (rubber tree). The record is from RNAcentral. Lineage: Eukaryota; Viridiplantae; Streptophyta; Magnoliopsida; Malpighiales; Euphorbiaceae.
CCACAUUUCCAGACUGUUGGCCGAGGUGUCCCUAUGAUGAAUGCUGGAUUGCCUGCUCAACCUCCACAGCCCCAAUUUCCUCAAUCAGUGCAACAGUUACCAGCAAGACCUGGACAACCAGGCCCGGGUCCACCACCAUCACAGGUCAUUGCAUUGCCAAAUGCUCAGCCAAGCAGGCAUGUUGCACCUGGAUCAUCUUUGCCUCCACCUAGUGUUCCAACUCCA